Molecule: ribosomal RNA, 1784 nt
Filed under: Salmonella enterica
Lineage: Bacteria; Pseudomonadati; Pseudomonadota; Gammaproteobacteria; Enterobacterales; Enterobacteriaceae
Description: partial 23S ribosomal RNA
Rfam family: Bacterial large subunit ribosomal RNA
Source: RNAcentral
GGAGCGAAAGCGACGUUCAACCGCAAAACAAGCAGAGGGGGCUUAGUGGUGGGGUGACUGCGUACCUUUUGUAUAAUGGGUCAGCGACUUAUAUUCUGUAGCAAGGUUAACCGUAUAGGGGAGCCGGAGGGAAACCGAGUCUUAAUUGGGCGUUAAGUUGCAGGGUAUAGACCCGAAACCCGGUGAUCUAGCCAUGGGCAGGUUGAAGGUUGGGUAACACUAACUGGAGGACCGAACCGACUAAUGUUGAAAAAUUAGCGGAUGACCUGUGGCUGGGGGUGAAAGGCCAAUCAAACCGGGAGAUAGCUGGUUCUCCCCGAAAGCUAUUUAGGUAGCGCCUCGUGAAUUCAUCUCCGGGGGUAGAGCACUGUUUCGGCUAGGGGGCCAUCCCGGCUUACCAACCCGAUGCAAACUGCGAAUACCGGAGAAUGUUAUCACGGGAGACACACGGCGGGUGCUAACGUCCGUCGUGAAGAGGGAAACAACCCAGACCGCCAGCUAAGGUCCCAAAGUCAUGGUUAAGUGGGAAACGAUGUGGGAAGGCCCAGACAGCCAGGAUGUUGGCUUAGAAGCAGCCAUCAUUUAAAGAAAGCGUAAUAGCUCACUGGUCGAGUCGGCCUGCGCGGAAGAUGUAACGGGGCUAAACCAUGCACCGAAGCUGCGGCAGCGAACGUAUCACUUAAAGCGAUUCAGCGGGUUACGAUUGACGGAGCGAAGCGACGUCAAAGCGUAUACAAAGUCGAGUCGGUUUAAGGAUACGUUCGUUGGGUAGGGGAGCGUUCUGUAAGCCUGCGAAGGUGGCCUGUGAGGGUUGCUGGAGGUAUCAGAAGUGCGAAUGCUGACAUAAGUAACGAUAAAGCGGGUGAAAAGCCCGCUCGCCGGAAGACCAAGGGUUCCUGUCCAACGUUAAUCGGGGCAGGGUGAGUCGACCCCUAAGGCGAGGCCGAAAGGCGUAGUCGAUGGGAAACGGGUUAAUAUUCCCGUACUUGGUGUUACUGCGAAGGGGGGACGGAGAAGGCUAUGUUGGCCGGGCGACGGUUGUCCCGGUUUAAGCGUGUAGGCUGGUUUUCCAGGCAAAUCCGGAAAAUCAAGGCUGAGGCGUGACGACGAGGCACUACGGUGCUGAAGCAACAAAUGCCCUGCUUCCAGGAAAAGCCUCUAAGCAUCAGGUAACACGAAAUCGUACCCCAAACCGACACAGGUGGUCAGGUAGAGAAUACCAAGGCGCUUGAGAGAACUCGGGUGAAGGAACUAGGCAAAAUGGUGCCGUAACUUCGGGAGAAGGCACGCUGACACGUAGGUGAAGUGAUUUACUCAUGGAGCUGAAGUCAGUCGAAGAUACCAGCUGGCUGCAACUGUUUAUUAAAAACACAGCACUGUGCAAACACGAAAGUGGACGUAUACGGUGUGACGCCUGCCCGGUGCCGGAAGGUUAAUUGAUGGGGUCAGCGCAAGCGAAGCUCCUGAUCGAAGCCCCGGUAAACGGCGGCCGUAACUAUAACGGUCCUAAGGUAGCGAAAUUCCUUGUCGGGUAAGUUCCGACCUGCACGAAUGGCGUAAUGAUGGCCAGGCUGUCUCCACCCGAGACUCAGUGAAAUUGAACUCGCUGUGAAGAUGCAGUGUACCCGCGGCAAGACGGAAAGACCCCGUGAACCUUUACUAUAGCUUGACACUGAACAUUGAGCCUUGAUGUGUAGGAUAGGUGGGAGGCUUUGAAGCGUGGACGCCAGUCUGCGUGGAGCCGACCUUGAAAUACCACCCUUUAAUGUUUGAUGUUCUAACGU